AAACUAAGACUGCAAUAGAUUCUUGUAUCACUUGAAUGCUGUUAAAACAAUCAGCGCUUUAUUUACCUUUUAAUAAAACUUGUAGAUUUCCUGUCUAUAAAAAGACAAGAGAUGUGAAGUAUGAGAUGUAGCACAUAUGCUUUUGUUGGACUUCUGCAUCAAAGUGUUACUCAGUCUACAGUACAUGGGUAGCAAAUAUUAUAUAGUCCUUAAUGCAAAAAUAAACCAUUAUAUCAAAACAUUUAAAGAUGCACUCCUGGAAACUCCUGUUUACUCUGUUACUGAAGCCUGAUUUGUUCACGAUUGUGUAGCUGCACAAACCAGUGGCAUUCUAGCCACUUGCAAGAGGAUUAGGUAGAAUUUAGGUGAACAAAAUCCUUGCCUGAAGGGCAGGGACGUCCAAGUAAUAGAUUCUGGCAAAGGUAGAUGACGACGACCAGCCGGCAGCCGCACAAAUCUCACCUAUAGAAAUACCACUGGACUAAGCCCAGGAGGAGGCAGUUCCUCUGGGUUAGUGAGCAUAUAGCUGUGUUUCGGUUGGAGGAAGACUCUACAGUCAUUAGGCCCAAACUCAAGACAGGAAGCACUGACUGACAAUGUUUGCAAGUCACCCACUCCUUCAGCAUCAGGCUGAGCUUCUUCCUCUUCUUUGGCUUCUUGAUUGCAGAGUCAGCAAAGAGAUGGUCUUGUCGCUGAAGGAGAAAAAUUCUGAUGAAAUGGUGCUCUGAGCCGGCUUAUUUAGUGGUCGGCUCCUCCCCUUCUGGCAGGCUAAUUCUUUGUAAUAAUUUGAAGUAUAAUAAAUAUAGUAAAUAUAUAUAUUUUGUUUUAAGUAAAUCAUUUUUUUUUUCAGUGAAGCAAACAAUUUAAUAAAUGAAUGAAUGAAUAUAAUAAAAAAAAGAAAAAAAAACACAAUCUUGUUUUUCCUGUUUAAGUUUAUUUUUCUAAGCCCACUGGGGGGAAAAAAUAAGUUGUUUGUUGUGUCUUGUUUGAAGCAUAAACUCACUUAAUUUUAAUACUUUUUGGCCUGGUUUCACUGACAGGGCUUAGAUUAAGCCAGGAUUAGGUUAUAGUUCAAUAAGGGCAUUUAAGUAGUUUUUAUAAAUGUAAUUAGCCCCGUCAGAAUUUUUAAUAGCCCCAGUUUAGCCAUCUAAACAUCCCCACCCCACCCACCACCGCCGCCAGAUGAGAUGGGCCGUUUUUUGAUAUAGAAAACAAGAGUGCAGGUUGGAAACCAUGUCUCUGAGGGGGCCAAAG
Long non-coding RNA from Cyprinus carpio carpio, 1254 nucleotides. NCBI's taxonomy places the organism in Eukaryota, Metazoa, Chordata, Actinopteri, Cypriniformes, Cyprinidae. The record is from Ensembl.